This is a long non-coding RNA of Culex quinquefasciatus (southern house mosquito), 1318 nucleotides long. RefSeq lists it as uncharacterized. The record is from RefSeq and is a predicted model, not a curated record. The transcript has 3 exons. NCBI's taxonomy places the organism in Eukaryota, Metazoa, Arthropoda, Insecta, Diptera, Culicidae.
UUUGUGCUUUUGUACAUUACCUUCGCGGCUCCGCUUGAGAGUUGGACUCUUUUUGUUGUUGUUGUAGUUUUUGCUCGUUUUUCGUUACAGAAAAACCUCAGAGCAGUGUGCUCAGCUUCGUUGAUUAUGAUUCAUUCGUCACAUUCGGUGGAUUCAGCAGCAGCAGCAGCAGCAGCAGCAUAUGAGUGGAGUGGGGUCUGAGAAAGGGGGUGUCAUAAAGCCAUGUCUGUGCCCGGGCCGCGGCGUAGAGCAGAGAGCUUUACCUUUCUGGCCAGGCAGAUCUGGGAAAGAAACCGGAGAGUGGAAAAUCAAUAAACUUGAUAGUGCAUCGUCGUUCGUUUGCUGAGAAAUAUACAUCACGUAUUCUCUCGCACACGCACAUGCAGCCUUUUGAGCUUGAGCGCUGAGCAACUUGGCUUAUAUCCUGUCUUGAAGACCCGCAGCUCGACCGCCUUCAGAAUCGGAAUUCGUGGGAGAUCCAUGUCGUUUGUGGUGCAUCACACGGGCUUCAUUAUUAUGUUAAACGAUUAAACAGACGAUUAGGCAUAUUGUCCUCCCUCUUGGCGCGUCGAAACCACCUUAUCUGGAUGUAAUCGUGUUACCAAUUUGCUUCGACGUGUCUUGAGAUAAUGUCCAACAAUGCGCCUCACGCGUUAAGCGACUCGCAUAUCCCACAAUCUAAAUCCGUCCCAAUUUCUGACGGUUGUUGGAAUUCCAACCCAGACUGCGCAGUCCAAGUCUAGCAGCAUUCGUCUGGUUUGCUCAGCCAUCGCGAAAUAUUUCACAACAUUUAGCAGCAUUGUUCGGUGGAUGCGUAUUUCAAAUUGGCCAUCCUUUGGCAAAACGUCUCAUCCGUCGGUCUCUGGGACAAAUAUCUCAUAAAAUAAUAGAACAUAUGCACGAGUGGAAAAAUGUCUCAUAGAAUUAAACAGCGAUGCAACACACCAUCAAGUGGAAAUUCCGAGAAGCGACAUGCUUUGUGGCACUUGGAAACAGAUUGGCUGCUUGUUCCUAUGAGAGCCGUGCGGUGUUAUGAAAAACAUCUUGUGGGAUAUGAUUAACCUGUUGGAGGCCAGCCGUUUCACAACUCUACAUUUUGAAAAUCGAAUUUUCUGUUGAUAAUUUGACACUAUCUGAAUUCAGGAAGGUGCAUCGCUUCGUAGAAUGGCUUUAUAUUAUUUGUAACUGAAUUUUGGAGUCCAAUUCUUUCAAAUCGGACAAAAACCCAUUUGAAAAACUGACAAUUAAAAUGUAGAUUUGUGGUUUGUAGAAUGCAUCAACUUGCUGACGAAAAAUAGAAAUUCAGUAAAACAUUGUA